RNAcentral lists this non-coding RNA (29 nucleotides) under Rattus norvegicus (Norway rat). The record is from RNAcentral. Lineage: Eukaryota; Metazoa; Chordata; Mammalia; Rodentia; Muridae.
UGCUAAAUGACCGUGCUAGCCAGCAAAUU